GCCGGCGUAGUACAAUGGUAGUACAUUGCUUUCCUAAUCUUUAGAUAAGAGCUUGAAAGGCAAAGGUUGUGGGUUCGAGCCCCAUCGUCGGUU
This is a non-coding RNA of Asterophora parasitica, 93 nucleotides long. NCBI's taxonomy places the organism in Eukaryota, Fungi, Basidiomycota, Agaricomycetes, Agaricales, Lyophyllaceae. The record is from the annotation of a GenBank genome assembly.